This 71-nucleotide transfer RNA is filed under the name Stegodyphus mimosarum. It matches the Rfam family "tRNA". Rfam says of the family: Transfer RNA (tRNA) molecules are approximately 80 nucleotides in length. Their secondary structure includes four short double-helical elements and three loops (D, anti-codon, and T loops). Lineage: Eukaryota; Metazoa; Arthropoda; Arachnida; Araneae; Eresidae. The record is from Rfam by way of RNAcentral.
GCCUUCGUGGUGUAACGGUAGCACACUCGGCGCGUAUUCGAGAGGUCCAGGUUCGAUUCCCGGCAAGGGCA